This 1326-nucleotide ribosomal RNA is filed under the name Bacillus sp. (in: firmicutes). RNAcentral describes it as "bacterial SSU rRNA". It matches the Rfam family "Bacterial small subunit ribosomal RNA", at positions 50 to 1360 of the family's 1533-position model. Lineage: Bacteria; Bacillati; Bacillota; Bacilli; Caryophanales; Bacillaceae. The record is from RNAcentral.
CAUACAUGCAGUCGAGCGGACAGAUGGGAGCUUGCUCCCUGAUGUUAGCGGCGGACGGGUGAGUAACACGUGGGUAACCUGCCUGUAAGACUGGGAUAACUCCGGGAAACCGGGGCUAAUACCGGAUGGUUGUUUGAACCGCAUGGUUCAGACAUAAAAGGUGGCUUCGGCUACCACUUACAGAUGGACCCGCGGCGCAUUAGCUAGUUGGUGAGGUAACGGCUCACCAAGGCGACGAUGCGUAGCCGACCUGAGAGGGUGAUCGGCCACACUGGGACUGAGACACGGCCCAGACUCCUACGGGAGGCAGCAGUAGGGAAUCUUCCGCAAUGGACGAAAGUCUGACGGAGCAACGCCGCGUGAGUGAUGAAGGUUUUCGGAUCGUAAAGCUCUGUUGUUAGGGAAGAACAAGUGCCGUUCAAAUAGGGCGGCACCUUGACGGUACCUAACCAGAAAGCCACGGCUAACUACGUGCCAGCAGCCGCGGUAAUACGUAGGUGGCAAGCGUUGUCCGGAAUUAUUGGGCGUAAAGGGCUCGCAGGCGGUUUCUUAAGUCUGAUGUGAAAGCCCCCGGCUCAACCGGGGAGGGUCAUUGGAAACUGGGGAACUUGAGUGCAGAAGAGGAGAGUGGAAUUCCACGUGUAGCGGUGAAAUGCGUAGAGAUGUGGAGGAACACCAGUGGCGAAGGCGACUCUCUGGUCUGUAACUGACGCUGAGGAGCGAAAGCGUGGGGAGCGAACAGGAUUAGAUACCCUGGUAGUCCACGCCGUAAACGAUGAGUGCUAAGUGAUUGGGGGUUUCCGCCCCUUAGUGCUGCAGCUAACGCAUUAAGCACUCCGCCUGGGGAGUACGGUCGCAAGACUGAAACUCAAAGGAAUUGACGGGGGCCCGCACAAGCGGUGGAGCAUGUGGUUUAAUUCGAAGCAACGCGAAGAACCUUACCAGGUCUUGACAUCCUCUGACAAUCCUAGAGAUAGGACGUCCCCUUCGGGGGCAGAGUGACAGGUGGUGCAUGGUUGUCGUCAGCUCGUGUCGUGAGAUGUUGGGUUAAGUCCCGCAACGAGCGCAACCCUUGAUCUUAGUUGCCAGCAUUCAGUUGGGCACUCUAAGGUGACUGCCGGUGACAAACCGGAGGAAGGUGGGGAUGACGUCAAAUCAUCAUGCCCCUUAUGACCUGGGCUACACACGUGCUACAAUGGACAGAACAAAGGGCAGCGAAACCGCGAGGUUAAGCCAAUCCCACAAAUCUGUUCUCAGUUCGGAUCGCAGUCUGCAACUCGACUGCGUGAAGCUGGAAUCGCUAGUAAUCGCGGAUCAGCAUGCCGC